AACAGGAUUAGAUACCCUGGUAGUCCACGCUGUAAACGAUGAUCACCCGCUGUUGGCGAAACACUGUCAGCGGCUGAGCGAAAGCAUUAAGGAUCCACCUGGGGAGUACGGCCGCAAGGUUGAAACUCAAAGGAAUUGACGGGGGCCCGCACAAGCGGUGGAACAUGUGGUUUAAUUCGAUGAUACGCGAGGAACCUUACCUGGGCUUAAAUGCAGAACGACGUACCGGGAAACUGGUAUUCCCUUCGGGGCGGACUGCAAGGUGCUGCAUGGUUGUCGUCAGCUCGUGCCGUGAGGUGUCGGGUUAAGUCCCAUAACGAGCGCAACCCUCAUCGUUAGUUGCCAGCGAGUAAUGUCGGGGACUCUAACGAAACUGCCGGUGUAAACCGUGAGGAAGGUGGGGAUGACGUCAAAUCAGCACGGCCCUUAUGUCCAGGGCUACACACGUGUUACAAUGGCCAGUACAGAGGGCAGCUACCAGGCGACUGGAUGCUAAUCUCCAAAACUGGUCUUAGUUCGGAUUGAAGUCUGCAACUCGACUUCAUGAAGCUGGAAUCGCUAGUAAUCGCGCAUCAGCCAUGGCGCGGUGAAUAUGUUCCCGGGCCUUGUACA
Molecule: ribosomal RNA, 612 nt
Filed under: uncultured organism
Description: bacterial SSU rRNA
Rfam family: Bacterial small subunit ribosomal RNA
Source: RNAcentral